UACGAAGGGGGCGAGCGUUGUUCGGAGUUACUGGGCGUAAAGGGAGCGUAGGCGGCUUGUUAAGUUGGUCGUGAAAGCCCGGGGCUCAACCCCGGAAUUGCGAUCAAGACUGGCUGGCUUGAGUCCGGGAGAGGUGCGUGGAAUUCCCAGUGGAGAGGUGAAAUUCGUAGAGAUUGGGAAGAACACCGGUGGCGAAGGCGACGCACUGGACCGGUACUGACGCUGCGGCGCGAAAGCGUGGGGAUCAAACAGG
RNAcentral lists this ribosomal RNA (253 nucleotides) under uncultured bacterium. RNAcentral describes it as "partial 16S ribosomal RNA". It matches the Rfam family "Bacterial small subunit ribosomal RNA", at positions 524 to 776 of the family's 1533-position model. The record is from RNAcentral.